Molecule: unclassified non-coding RNA, 344 nt
Filed under: soil metagenome
Description: partial contains 5.8S ribosomal RNA, internal transcribed spacer 2, and large subunit ribosomal RNA
Rfam family: 5.8S ribosomal RNA (bases 1-120)
Source: RNAcentral
GAUGAAGAACGCAGCAAAAUGCGAUAAGUAAUGUGAAUUGCAGAAUUCAGUGAAUCAUCGAAUCUUUGAACGCACAUUGCGCCCGCCAGUAUUCUGGCGGGCAUGCCUGUUCGAGCGUCAUUUCAACCCUCAAGCACAGCUUGGUGUUGGGCCUCCGUCCUCCUCCCGGGGGACGGGCCCGAAAGGCAGCGGCGGCACCGCGUCCGGUCCUCGAGCGUAUGGGGCUUCGUCACCCGCUCUUGUAGGCCCGGCCGGCGCUUGCCGACACAUCAAUCUUUUUUCCAGGUUGACCUCGGAUCAGGUAGGGAUACCCGCUGAACUUAAGCAUAUCAAUAAGCGGAGGA